CACCUGCAUUUAUUUGACGUUACCUACAGAAGAAAGCACCGGCUAACUCCGUGCCAGCAGCCGCGGUAAUACGGAGGGUGCGAGCGUUAAUCGGAAUUACUGGGCGUAAAGCGCAUGCAGGCGGCUUGUUAAGUCAGAUGUGAAAGCCCCGGGGCUUAACCUACGGAAUUAGCAUUUGUAAACUAGGCAGGACUAGAGUCUUGUAGAGGGGGUAGGAAUUUCAGGUGUAGCGGUGAAAUGCGUAGAGAUCUGAAGGAAUACCAGUGGCGAAGGCGGCCCCCUGGACAAAGACUGACGCUCAGAUGCGAAAGCGUGGGGAGCAAACAGGAUUAGAUACCCUGGUAG
RNAcentral lists this ribosomal RNA (345 nucleotides) under uncultured bacterium. RNAcentral describes it as "bacterial SSU rRNA". It matches the Rfam family "Bacterial small subunit ribosomal RNA", at positions 456 to 793 of the family's 1533-position model. The record is from RNAcentral.